UGCGUAGGCGGGUCUUUAAGUCAGGGGUGAAAUCCUGGAGCUCAACUCCAGAACUGCCUUUGAUACUGAGGAUCUUGAGUUCGGGAGAGGUGAGUGGAACUGCGAGUGUAGAGGUGAAAUUCGUAGAUAUUCGCAAGAACACCAGUGGCGAAGGCGGCUCACUGGCCCGAUACUGACGCUGAGGACAAGCGUGGGGAGCAAACA
RNAcentral lists this ribosomal RNA (204 nucleotides) under uncultured bacterium. RNAcentral describes it as "partial 16S ribosomal RNA". It matches the Rfam family "Bacterial small subunit ribosomal RNA", at positions 568 to 774 of the family's 1533-position model. The record is from RNAcentral.